AGCGAACGCUGGCGGCAGGCUUAACACAUGCAAGUCGAGCGCCUGUAGCAAUACAGGAGCGGCAGACGGGAGAGUAACACGUGGGAACGUACCCUUCAGUUCGGAACAACCCAGGGAAACUUGGGCUAAUACCGGAUAAGCCCUUACGGGGAAAGGAUUUAUCGCUGAAAGAUCGGCCCGCGUCUGAUUAGCUAGUUGGUGAGGUAAUGGCUCACCAAGGCGACGAUCAGUAGCUGGUCUGAGAGGAUGAUCAGCAUCACUGGGACUGAGACACGGCCCAGACUCCUACGGGAGGCAGCAGUGGGGAAUAUUGGACAAUGGGCGCAAGCCUGAUCCAGCCAUGCCGCGUGGAUGAUGAAGG
This 361-nucleotide ribosomal RNA is filed under the name uncultured bacterium. RNAcentral's name for it is "bacterial SSU rRNA". It matches the Rfam family "Bacterial small subunit ribosomal RNA", at positions 29 to 414 of the family's 1533-position model. The record is from RNAcentral.